GAAUGAAAAGAAUAACUAUAAUUAGAUCUAAUAAUAUACUAAACUUAGCUGUGAUGGGUAACAAUAGGUCAUUUCUAUUUUAAAUUAUAACUAAAUUACUAUAUUUUGCUAGACUAAAAAAAGAUGCAAGAUAGCUGAAUUCAUUUUAGAUCUCAAUUUUCUUACUUUAUUCUGUGGCAGGUUUUUCAUGUCUAAAAUAUUCUCAAGCAUCCUCUUACUAGAUAUAUCUCAGCCCCAAGUGAAAGUAAAGAACUACUCUGCUGAAGAUUACCUCUUAUAAACUUCUUCAAAGCUACUGAGACAAAUCCUCAGGGCGAGUUUGCAACAGUUAUACUCCCAAUGAUAAUCUUAGCCAUAAUUUCUUCUCAGAAGGAAGAUCUGGUUCAUAUUUUGAACUUUAAUUUAUUUAAGU
Molecule: long non-coding RNA, 412 nt
Filed under: Bos taurus (domestic cattle)
Lineage: Eukaryota; Metazoa; Chordata; Mammalia; Artiodactyla; Bovidae
Description: long non-coding RNA NONBTAT024721
Source: RNAcentral